RNAcentral lists this long non-coding RNA (244 nucleotides) under Malus domestica (apple). RNAcentral describes it as "long non-coding RNA (MDOM_LNC012323)". The record is from RNAcentral. Lineage: Eukaryota; Viridiplantae; Streptophyta; Magnoliopsida; Rosales; Rosaceae.
GAUCCGAGCUACGAGGCAUUCCCCUACCAGUGAUAUUGUGCCAUCUUCUCUGCUUUGACUUCACUUGUAAUAGCACAUUCCGGUUGUAUUUUGAAUUAGAUAUAUGCUAUGAACAUGUCAUGCAUUAUCAUUAUCAUUUUAUGGACGGCUAAAUACUAUUAUAUUAUGUAGUUCGAGCAAAAUUUAUAUGCAUGUUUUCUCAUGUUCUUGGCAUAUGCAUUCAUUAAAUGGCUUACGUCACCCU